This 75-nucleotide transfer RNA is filed under the name Chloroflexota bacterium. RNAcentral's name for it is "tRNA-Asn". It matches the Rfam family "tRNA". From Rfam's summary of the family: Transfer RNA (tRNA) molecules are approximately 80 nucleotides in length. Their secondary structure includes four short double-helical elements and three loops (D, anti-codon, and T loops). Lineage: Bacteria; Bacillati; Chloroflexota. RNAcentral also lists the same sequence under 2 other names. The record is from RNAcentral.
UCCGCAGUAGCUCAGUGGUAGAGCAGUCGGCUGUUAACCGACCGGUCGUAAGUUCGAAUCUUACCUGCGGAGCCA